RNAcentral lists this ribosomal RNA (1926 nucleotides) under Triticum aestivum (bread wheat). RNAcentral describes it as "partial small subunit ribosomal RNA". Lineage: Eukaryota; Viridiplantae; Streptophyta; Magnoliopsida; Poales; Poaceae. The record is from RNAcentral.
UCCUCUGAUUAUGAAUUGAACGUACAUUACACGCAUGCAGAAAACUGCACGAGGCUCUGCGGCGAUGUGGAAGUGCCGUACCCAUUCGGCAUCCAAGGCAUGGGCCCCGCUGGUUGCUUCCAUCCAGGGUUCAACCUCACCUGCGACAAGACCCACGACCCACCACGGCUGCUCCUUGACGACAGUGGCAACUUCCGAGUCGAGAAGAUCCACGUCGAUAAUGCCACCGUGCGCGCUGUCCACGCCGGGGCAUUACUAAACAGCACCUAUGUGGAUGACAAUCUUUUUCCUUUCCCGAACCAUGGCAUCGCGCCCUACUCGCUCUCGGCCAGCAACGAGCUUGUCCUCAUGGGGUGCGAUGCGUGGGCGUCGAUGCUCGGGCACCGCACCAGCAACGACAAUGGCCCAGACAUCCUCAGUGGAUGCGUCUCCUUCUGCAGCUUUGCCUCGGACGAAGACACCGACGUUGGCCACGUCGACCACCGAGGGCGAGACCGAGAAGGGCAUAGCCGGCGCCGGAACCCAAAUGACAAGUACUGCCACGGCAUGGGCUGCUGUCAGACACACAUCUCCCAGGACUCCACGGGGGGGAUGCCCAAGCAGUUGAGUGUGGGACAUCCAACAAGUGCAAGAGCAAGCACAGCCACUGCAAGCAGGGGAACAGAGGCUAUACAUGCCACUGCGAGGUUGGCUACGACGGCAAUGUCUCUGUAUUUUUCAGUUAGCGUUGGAGCUGGGCUUGCGAGUGCUGGGGGCCUCAUAGUUUCAGUUCUUGCUGGAUGGUUCAUUUCCAGCAAAGUUAAACAGAGAAAUGCACAAAUUUCAAAGCGAAAGUUCUUUGACCAAAAUCGAGGACAGCUGUUGCAACAAUUGGUAUCACAGAGGGCUGAUAUUGCUGAAAGGAUGAUCAUACCCUUAGAAGAGAUAGAGAAGGCAACCAACAAUUUUGAUAAAGCUCGUGAGCUUGGUGGUGGAGGGCAUGGUACAGUAUACAAAGGGAUUUUGUCAGACCUCCAUGUGGUAGCCAUCAAGAAGCCAAAGAAGAUUAUUCAAAGGGAGAUUGAUGAGUUUAUUAACGAGGUUGCUAUACUAUCACAGAUCAAUCACCGAAAUGUGGUAAAACUUUACGGUUGUUGCCUUGAAACAGAAGUUCCAAUGUUGGUCUACGAGUUCAUAUCCAAUGGAACCCUUUAUGAUCAUCUUCACAUCAAUGGACCAAGAUCAUUGUCAUGGGAAGACAGGCUUCGGAUUGCAGUUGAAACAGCCAAAUCACUGGCCUAUCUUCACUCUACAGCUUCAAUGCCCAUCAUUCAUAGAGAUGUGAAGUCGGUUAACAUACUGUUGGAUGACACUCUAACAGCAAAGGUAGCAGACUUUGGAGCUUCAAGAUAUAUUUCGGUGGAAAAGUCGGGGUUAACAACAAUGGUUCAAGGUACAAUAGGAUAUUUGGACCCAAUGUAUUUCUACACAGGGCGGCUCACAGACAAAAGUGAUGUCUAUAGCUAUGGUGUCAUGCUCAUAGAACUGCUUACUCGACAAAAGCCAUUUUCAUAUUUGUCUUCUGAAGGUGAAGGCCUUGUUACACAUUUUGUUGCAUUGUUUGAGGAGGGUAAUCUGUCACAGAUAUUAGAUCCACAAAUUACAGAUGAGGGAGGCAAAGAAGUUGAAGAAGCCGUUGCACUUGCAGUGGCAUGUAUAAAAUUAAGAGGAGAGGAGCGUCCAACCAUGAGGCAAGUGGAGUUGACACUUGAAGGUCUUCGACCAUCCAAGGAGUAUAUUUCAGAUGAAUUUGGCACCAACAGACUUGAGAACAAAGGUGUCACGAUUAAUGCUCCAUCAACCGUAGAUGGAAGAAGCACUGAUGGAUCGACUAGACAAUACAGUAUGGAAGAAGAGCUGGCCAUGUCUUCGAGGUAUCCUAGGUAG